CCUACGGGAGACAGCAGUGGGGAAUAUUGCACAAUGGGGGAAACCCUGAUGCAGCGACGCCGCGUGAGCGAUGAAGGAUUUCGGUAUGGAAAGCUCUAGCAGCAGGGAAGAAAAUUACGGUACCUGACUAAGAAGCCCCGGCUAACGACGUGCCAGCAGCCGCGGUAAUACGUAGGGGGCAGGCGUUAGCCGGAUUUACUGGGUGUAAGGGGAGCGUAGACGGUCCUGCAAGCCAGAUGUGAAAGCCCGGGGCUCAACCCCGGGACUGCAUUUGGAACUGUAAGGCUAGAGUGUCGGAGAGGCAGGCGGAAUUCCUAGUGUAGCGGUGAAAUGCGUAGAUAUUAGGAGGAACACCAGUGGCGAAGGCGGCCUGCUGGACGAUGACUGACGUUGAGGCUCGAAAGCGUGGGGAGCAAACAGGAUUAGAUACCCGGGUAGUC
This 440-nucleotide ribosomal RNA is filed under the name uncultured bacterium. RNAcentral's name for it is "partial 16S ribosomal RNA". It matches the Rfam family "Bacterial small subunit ribosomal RNA", at positions 338 to 795 of the family's 1533-position model. The record is from RNAcentral.